GAAAAUAGACAGACGUACAGCUCCACGCAGUAAGAUUGCAUGCAGGAGGCCUAUUCGCAAUAGGCCUAUGGACGAUAGGCUUGUCCACGCGGCAGGCCGAGAUGGCAUGUGCUGCCUUGGGCAGUGCAUGUCGCACCCUUGGGAACCAUGGGCCACCUUCGUGCGGCAUGCGCCGCCAGUUGGGUAGUGAGCCACCAUCAGUUAGGCGAUAUGUCGCCAUCGUUUGUGUGGCGUGCCUUUGGUUCAUGCCUCACUGUCAUGUCGAAUCGUCCAUCCAUUGGUCAUAUCCGUUGGUCGUCACAUCUCAUCAUUUCACAUUGACUUUUUCUCUCUUCGCUAGAUUUUACCACUUGGCAUAAAUCUAACAGUCCCUAUUUUCUUUAAAUGGGGACCCUCACUUCCACUUCAUUCUUCC
Molecule: long non-coding RNA, 415 nt
Filed under: Carica papaya (papaya)
Lineage: Eukaryota; Viridiplantae; Streptophyta; Magnoliopsida; Brassicales; Caricaceae
Description: long non-coding RNA (CPAP_LNC010223)
Source: RNAcentral